This 2438-nucleotide long non-coding RNA is filed under the name Canis lupus familiaris (dog). RNAcentral's name for it is "lncRNA (ENSCAFG00000052223.1)". The record is from RNAcentral. Lineage: Eukaryota; Metazoa; Chordata; Mammalia; Carnivora; Canidae.
AUGGCGCGCGGGCAGCCCCGAGGGCCCGAGCGCCCCGCCCCGCCCGCCCCGCCCGCCCCGCCCGGCCCGGCCCGGCCCGGCCCGGCCCUCGGCUCUCCCGCCCGCUCGCGGGGCCGGCCCGGGCGGGGCCCCGCCGCUGCCCGGCCGCCCCCGAGGCCCGCGGCUGGGGCUGGCGAGCUCCCCCGCCGCGCCCGGGGCUUGGCGCUCCCUGGGGGCCGCUACCUGUGCGGCCCCCAGCACUCGGAAGAAGCAGCGACAGGCAGGGACAGGCACACGCGCACCCCGACAGACAGGCUCAGACUUCUGCGGAGACGCGCCCGUCCAGCGCACCCCCCAAGCACACUCGUGCGCGCGCACACAGAAGCCCACGCGCACAAAGUCACCCCUGCCCAGCGGAGGCCGGGCCAGGAAGCCAACACAGGAGCGCCCAGAGCACAGAACCAGUGUUGCUCUCAGAUUUCUAGAAUAUACUGUUAUGGCCACAGAGUUCUUCCUCAUGACUACCCUUCUCUGGUGAAGAAGCUGAAAUACAAUUUAACCAAACCUGAAACUGAAAAGAAGACGAGAAGACCUGGGGCGAGCUGAAAUUUCAAAGGCUUAAGUUGAAAGAGAAUGUUCCUGGGGGGUGGGGGUGGGAGGGUGGCCCGGAAUAUUAGACUCACAAAAAACCAAUAGGGAGAGAAAAGCAUUAUCAAGGAAUUAGAAUAGACAAAAGAGGAAAAGUGAACCGAAAUAUUUUUGAGGAUAAACUGGAUCCUAAAAUGGAAACAAUGAAUUGAAAGGCAGGGUUUAAAAAAAAAAAAAAAAAGCUGGUGCAACCAACAAAUCCGUUUUGAUCGCCCGCCACGGACGGACGGCACUGUGGGUUCCCUGACCCGCUGAGAUCCCGGCCUCGGUGGGGCGGGUUGGCGGCCUGGCGGCCAGUCGGGCAGUUGGCACCGAGCAAGAGCACGGAUCCGCUUCUCCGAGCUCUUGUUGGACGUGCUCUCCUGAUGGACGCGGCACUUAUUUGCCAAGUGCAGCAGCGUGUGAUGUGCCCCGUCUGGCAUAACAAAGAUGUUGGCCUCCGCCUCUGAGGUUCCCAGUGCAGAGAGUGGAACCGGCCGCGUCGGGGAGGCCGGGAGGGGAGAGACCUAAGGCCUUGCUUCCUGGUUCUGAUUACAGGAAAGUGGGGGAGAGCCGGGUAAACACAGCAGCCCGGAGGGUUGCUGAGAGGGAAGGAGAGGGACGUAGGGCAGAGGCGCCCAGCUGACAUACCGAUGCGCUGAGGGAAGGGAGGGCCGGUGGCGGCCCACCUGCUCGCCCAGGCCCUCAGAUCCCCAGAGUCCUACACCGAGGAGGGGCCCAAGGCCCACAGGCGGGCAGGGGCUCACCCAACGUCACACAACCAGUCGGAGGCAGUGCUGGCAGCGGAAUCCAGGACUCUUCCCAUUGCCCCAUCCUGCCACACUGAAGGGACAGCCCAGUGGUUAAUUAAAUGCAGAAUGUUCUGGAGUCAGGCUGACCUGGGUCUGUACCCUGCUUCUGCCACUUGCUGGUGGUCUUGUGAUCCUGGGCAAGUUUCUCUCUUCACCUGGAUGUCUCUAUCUGUAAAAUGGGGACCGUGAUUGUCAUUACUGGGAUGGCUUCCCUCCACCACAGCCAUCCUCGCUUCCUUCCCUCCUGUGUGUGCCAUUGCCCCAUCAAAAGGUGGCGUUUAUCUUUCACCCUCUUGGAUCUGGUCUGACUUGUGACUACUGCGACCGGCGACUACAGUCGACGUGACCCUGUGGCAGUUCCAGAGCAAGUCUUUGUAAGGACUGGCAACUUCUGCCCGUGUCUCCUGAGUUACCUGCUCUGGAAGAAGAACUCCACUGAAUACAUGAGCCAAAGACGGCCAUGCAGAGAGGCAGCUCAAGCAGGCUGGGAGGUGGAGAGGCUGCGAGGAGAGAGAUGCUUCUGCCCCUCUUCCAACUAUUCCAGUGUAGCCUCAGCCUUUGGAUGACUCCAGCCUCAGGCCCCUGGGACUGCAGAUGCAUGAGAAGCUCCAAGCAAAACCUACCUAGCUGAGCCCCUUCCACAGUCAAAAGAGGUAAUCGUACAUUGAUGUUUUUUAAGCCACAAAGGUUUAGGGGAUGCUUGUUACACAGCAGCGAUAAGGGGACCACGUGCUUACUGAGGCUAUUCGUGGAUCCAUGAGACAAUUAUGUAGAAUAGAAGUGGAGACACAUGAAAUAUGAAUAAACGGUAGCUUUUUAUUUUAGUGGACUAAAUGCAAACAACAAACUCCAAACACUUCCAUCAGUCUCUACUAAAAAGCACAUUACAACAUCCCUGAACGAUGCAUUUGCAGACCACACAGAAUGAACUUCCUUCUCCCUUCACCUGACAGUCUUUGAAGACAGCCCCUACGCCCUGCUCUAGCCACACCAGCCUCCUCAGACCUUCCUAUGAGUCAG